AAGUUUAUGAUCAAGAGUUUAACCGAGUUCCCACGGGUAUGACUAAGUUUGCCGUUUACUUGUAAUUUCUGUGAUGUUCCAAGUUCGUCUCCCGAGUUACUAAGUUCCUCUCCCGAGUUACUCUAGAGCCAACAACGUCUACCGACGUGUUGAAAAAUCAUCACAUGGUAAAAAUGACUUUGUUUUAUUUAACUUUAAGUGUGGAUUUAUUUUUUCAUUUUAGUUUUUCCACUUAAGGAAUUUCAUUGCAUCUGUCUUUUCUUGAAAAAGUGGUU
Amblyraja radiata (thorny skate) is the source of this 275-nucleotide long non-coding RNA. RefSeq lists it as uncharacterized. The record is from RefSeq and is a predicted model, not a curated record. The transcript has 3 exons. Lineage: Eukaryota; Metazoa; Chordata; Chondrichthyes; Rajiformes; Rajidae.